UGGGGUCUUGUGGUUGGCAAAUAAGUUUCGCCCUACAAGUCAUAUUUAGGAAGUGAUCCCUGGUUAUGGUGUGCAAGCUCAUGGCGAGGACCGAAAGGUUUUCAGUCGAGUGAGAAGCCUAAAGUAACUAAAUAUCGCUACCACCUGUCUAACGAUGGGCCGAAUCCUAAAGACGCCGACUCAGACCCUUU
This 191-nucleotide non-coding RNA is filed under the name Bdellovibrio sp. CG_4_9_14_3_um_filter_39_7. Its description in RNAcentral is "6S RNA". It matches the Rfam family "6S / SsrS RNA". Rfam says of the family: E. coli 6S RNA was the first non coding RNA to be sequenced, but its function was unknown until recently. Lineage: Bacteria; Pseudomonadati; Bdellovibrionota; Bdellovibrionia; Bdellovibrionales; Pseudobdellovibrionaceae. RNAcentral also lists the same sequence under 3 other names. The record is from RNAcentral.